GGAAGGACAGUUCGUCGAGACCUUAACUGGGUUUAAAUGGAUGGGUAACACGACCCUUCUGCUGUCACAACAGAGCAAGACGGCGGUGUUCGCGUUCGAGGAGGCCAUCGGGUACAUGUGCAACGCAAGGAGUGCCAGACAAGGACGGCGUGUCGGCCGCCGUACACGUAGCUUCAUUAGCAUCUCACUUGUACGCAAAAGGUUCGUCCCUCAACCAACAAUUGCAAGCGUUGUAUGCCGAGUACGGAUACCACGUGUCUUACAACGCGUACUACAUCUGCCACGAGCCGGCAGUCAUACAGAAGAUAUUCAGGCGGAUAAGGAACUACCAUGGACCGGGGGAGUAUCCAAGGCAAGUGGGUUCACAUGAGAUAGUGUUUAUAAACGAUUUCACUGCUGGAGUGAAGAUACCGGAAGAGACUAACGGCGGACCGCACUUGAGUGUGCUCGGCACCGGCCUGGACCAGGAGUACACGAGCGGCGAGAUGAUCCUCCUGCGCACGCGCGGCAGAGC
Molecule: long non-coding RNA, 514 nt
Organism: Manduca sexta (tobacco hornworm)
Lineage: Eukaryota; Metazoa; Arthropoda; Insecta; Lepidoptera; Sphingidae
Exons: 5
Source: RefSeq, a predicted model, not a curated record